RNAcentral lists this ribosomal RNA (373 nucleotides) under uncultured bacterium. RNAcentral's name for it is "bacterial SSU rRNA". It matches the Rfam family "Bacterial small subunit ribosomal RNA", at positions 28 to 402 of the family's 1533-position model. The record is from RNAcentral.
GACGAACGCUGGCGGCGUGCUUAACACAUGCAAGUCGAGCGGUAAGGCCCUUUUGGGGGUACACGAGCGGCGAACGGGUGAGUAACACGUGGGUGACCUGCCCUCAGCUCUGGGAUAAGCCUGGGAAACUGGGUCUAAUACUGGAUAUGACCUUUCCUCGCAUGGGGGUUGGGUGGAAAGUUUUUCGGCUGGGGAUGGGCCCGCGGCCUAUCAGCUUGUUGGUGGGGUGAUGGCCUACCAAGGCGACGACGGGUAGCCGGCCUGAGAGGGCGACCGGCCACACUGGGACUGAGACACGGCCCAGACUCCUACGGGAGGCAGCAGUGGGGAAGUAUUGCGCAAUGGGCGGAAGCCUGACGCAGCGACGCCGCGU